GUUGGAGUUGUGUUGUAUUGACCGACACUUACUCCGAGUUGUGUUGUAUUGACCGACACUAACUCAUGGGUUUGUUGAGAUUGGGUUGUGAGCUAAACACUUUCGUGGUAAGGACGAUUCGUUGUUUGGCUAACCACGUUGCAUUCAAUCGGGUGAAUAACGGGAAUGGUUCACCUGUGCAUAUCAUGGUGAAUAACGGGAAUGGUUCACCUUGCAUUAAUGAUGAAUAACGGGAAUGGUUCAUCAUUCGGUGAAUAACGGGAAUGGUUCACCAAGGAUGAAUAACGGGAAUGGUUCAUCCAGGAUGGAUUUCAUCCAGGAUGGAUAACGGGAAUGGUCCAUCCAUAGUGAAAAUGCUUCACUUGUGGCGAACGGGAACGCGUCACAAAUCCGGAUACAUAUUGUGCAUUUCACGCAUACAUUCAUGCUGACUGAGAUUGUGUGCUGUUUGUUUAUUGAAGCAAUGUUAGAGCCAUAACAUGCUAGGAUUGUUUAUAUGUAUAUAUAUCAACAUAUAUCUAUACCCCAUAUCACAUGUUGAGUGUAUAUCUACUUAUUGCUGUGAGUUGACCCUAGCGCCUUGGCUUUGUUUGUAUGUUUGUGUUUGGGCGGUCGGCCUGCUGCCAGAUGUCGAUGGUCGACUGGUUCUCGACGGUCUCUCCCUCGGGGGGGAUCAGAUAUGAGCUGCUGGAUCGGGAUGCCCCCACCGCUUGGGUGAUCGAUGUAGCUGGUCACCGGGCGUCUGUCAUCGGGUUCGUGGUGAUUCGUUGUGCGGGACUGACCCGGAGCGUGGACGACUCUUACUGAAGGCUUUCUAUGGGGACCUGGAGUUGAUGCUUGAUCGAGGGAGGGUCGAUGAUAGUAGUGUGGGGUAUGGGUGGUUAGAGUCUUUUGGAGUUGGUUGUUACUGUAAUAGCUCUGAUUCGUUUUGCUUUUGGGACAGGGUAGGUUCCCGAUGCAUGGCUUUUUGUGUGGUUCUCUUACGGAGGGAUCACAGUGAGUCAGUCGGACCAUAGGGGUCUUUGCUUAGGCCAUUUUGAGGCCGACUUUCUCCUAGUGGUUUGUAAUUAUCAUUUUCUCACUUACACUUCUGGGUCUGUAUAUAUUUGCCUACGGGCACACUACUUUGGAGUCACUGCGAGUGCGCGUGACGUGGAGUGCAGCUGAGGCUGUACAUGUUUAUAUUUUGUAUAUCGGUUAGUUUAGUAGUUGGGUUUUGUCUUUACUUCCUUAUCGUUUUGAUUUAAAGGAAAGAAAACGGUCAAAAAAAAUUACCUGUUUUCCGCGUAAAGAUUAUUUUUGGUUACUAAAGUGACACCUGGAAAUCGGGGUGUUACAUUGUGGUAUCAGAGCUUAGUCGAGUCUUUUGGGAGUCUUUGGGGAAUAGGUCUUCUGUGCUAGGUUGUGUGACUCUGCAAAGAGUGAAAAUUGAUUGUCUGCAGAGCGAUUUUCGCUCUAAUUGCUUGCGUUACUACUCAAUCGGAUUGAGUGGUUUGUCUAGUGCUACCGUAUGGUUAGUACUAAUCGGACGUUCGAUGGGAUAUAGGAUGGUGGAUCUUAACCGGAUGGCGGAGGCUACACGUGAGCAUCAUCAACGACUGAUGGCGACAGCAAUGUAUCAACAAAGAGGAAUGAACCGAACAGGAGCUGGGGGACCAAUAAGGUCAGGAUCUCAAGGCUACAACAGAAGGGAGAGCUACCAUCAGUGGGGACCGUAUCAGCGUUUCAAGGGAAGAGAUCUUAUCUCAAGAGUCUACAAACCAACGACUGCUGAUACUGGAGGGGAGCCAGUUGGUGACAAAGGUGUGACAUGUACUCGUUGUGGAAAGUUUGGGCAUUUUGCUAACAAGUGCUCAGUGACUGGAUGGAGAUGCUUCAAGUGUAACCGAGAGGGGCAUCUAGCUGUGAACUGCAAGACCAAAGAAAGUCUAUGCUUCAAUUGCAACCAACCGGGACAUUUCUCCUAAGAUUGCAAGGCACUCAAGGGCGAAUCAUCAGGGAAUGUUGGGAAAGGAAAACAACUUGCUCCAGAGGAAAGGAUUCAUGCCAAGGAGGGCAAGAGCUGAGGAGUGGAACGAGGAAGAACGUGGGAACGAUGGUAAUAUUUUAACUGUUCUUUUAUUCUAGAAUAACUUACUCUUUUCUCUUCGAAGCGAGUGUGACGCGCCUAACUUGUAUUUACUACUUAGACUAUGAUCUUAUGAUUAUUAUCCCUAGUAGGACCUUAUUCGAAGUUGCUCGUGUUUUAACUAUAGGAGUUACACGAGGUUGGGAAUAGCACACUAAGUCUAGAAAGUAGCCUUCCACCGAUGCGACUAUGAGGAAGCUAGUAGCUGAAGAACGAAUCUUAGGGAGAUUCCGUAUGGGUAGUAUACGUGUCAUGUUGAGGGUGUGUAGUUCCGUAGCGGGAUCAUUAAAGGAUUUAGUAUCAGGAUAUUUGUGACUACUGGAGGAUAGGAACUCAUUGACUGUUCCAGUGGGUUUUUCUAAAUUUCCACCUUCGAUGUAUUAGGCCUGAUCAACCUAAUAUUGAGGGGGUGAUAUUCGGAAUCACAGCUGGUUAUGGACUUUGAUAGAAGGACGGGUAAGAUGAAUUUGAAUUGAUUGAGGAUUAGUCGGAUUUGGGAGGAAAGUUCGUGUUAAGCAUUUGAUUGUAAAAGAUUAAGAUUUGAAUCUGUGGAAGUCGAUGAGUGUCGUAUAGACAUUGAUUGGUUAGUUCGUGUGAUUACUCCAAGUAGAGGUAGACUAAGCCAAUAGAAUUGAUGUUGGAAAAUCUUUAAGUAUUUUCUCGGAAGUUAUGAAGUCAUAGGUUAUGUGAUUUCUGACGUGGGAUUAUUAGAGAUUAGAUAGGUUGGAUUUAAUAUCAGGUUUUAGAUGAUAGCUUGAUGGUAGCGAGAUUGAGAAGAAUUAGCUCUGAACUAGAUUGUUAUAGUCGAGUUCGAGGAAUAAGUUUUGCUAAGCGUUUGAUUAAUAUGUGGAGACAUUAUAGUCUUAAGAGAUGAAUUUUCGCUUGAAAAGUGUUGAAUUAAUGAUUAAGUUGGAGACAGAAAGUUUUAGCAUAAGUUGAAUACUCGAGGUUGUUGAUAUGGAUUCCAAAGAAAUAUGCUAGGAUUACUAAGUGAGAUUUACUAAGUUGGAUUGAAAUCUUAGGGUUAAGAUUGAAUCUUGAGAGCCGAGAAUCACGUACGAGUAGGAGAUCUUAUGGUUGUAGGUGUGACAAUAGGAGUUGAAUCUUAGAAAUUUGAAGACCUGAAGGUGAGUUCGGGUUAAGACCAUUGAGGUGUAGUAUAAGAGAGAUCUUGAAGUAAGGGAAUUCUGGGUUGUGUGGAGUGUUAAGGUCGGUGAUCGAUUGAUGUUGAUUAUGAGAUUGCGGACAUAAUGACCAUGUGAUAAGAUUUGAAUGAUGUUAGCAUAAUAAGUUAUGAUUAUGGAUAGCAGGACCAAGUGGUGAGUGUGGAAGCAUGACGACACUUAUCAGGUCGUUUGGGUAAGUGAAGGAGUUAUAGUUUUUAAGAAACUGAUAUUCAUUUAAGAAGUAUUGAAGGAUUAAAGGUCAUUAGAGGACCAAACUUGGUGAAGGUUUAGGUUUUAAAUCUAUGAAUGUCUGUCUAAGGUGUGUAGGACUUGAAGUUUGUCAGAAUUUGAUUGAGAAAUUAAGAAGUUGAUUGACGAGAUGGUGAUGGAGUCACAAAAAGGAAGGUGUUAGUAUUAAGACGAAUAUCUGAGGUUGUUAUAUUUUGACGAGUUUCGUAGAGUUUAAGAGUCAAUGGCUAGUUAAGUCCCUUGAGGUAUAGUUAUGAUGUAAUCUUCUAGAGGAUAAGUCUCGAUUUGUGCGAAGGGUUAGGGAUUUCAGUGAGUGUAAAUAGGUUUGAGUGAGGGAAGUUUCGAGGAAGAAGACGGUAAAAACGGAUUGUUAGAUAUUAAGAGGAGGAUUAUCUUAUAAGUUGUUGAUAAAUUGAUGUUGAAGGGGGAUAAGAUUAGUGAAGGACAAGGAAUAAGGACAUAAGUCGAGUUUUAAUUCGAAUAGUGACUAAGUAGAAGUUUGAUUACUUGGUGUGUGUAAAAAUAGUUACGAAGUUAGAGGUGUUUUAAUGGACUAGCGGUUUCCAAGGGGGAGGAUUCGUCUAGAAGUUAUCGAACGAACAAGUGGAGUUUUGGACUGUAGAUAAAGAUCACGAGGACAAGUUGGGUAUCUACUUUGAGAUGACAGAGAGGCACCGAGUUUAAGAAGAAUUUCGGACGACCGAAAGUAAAGAAGUAAGUGGCUAAGAUUGUGCGACUGCACGGAGUGCCAACCGGUAUCAUUUCAAGCAGAGAUCCGACGCAAGUGAUCGAGUCAGACGACAUGAAGUUGAAUGAUGGUUUGUCUUUUGAGACGCCGACAGUUAGCAGUGGGGAUAGAAGAGUGAAACAGUUAAGGGGAAAACAGAUUGCUUAAGUAAAGGUUAUGAGGAACAAUGACACGGGAAAUGCUACAUGGGAAUUGGAGGAUAAGAUCAAGGAACGGUACCCCGGACUUUUUGCUGAACUCUGAGUUUCGAGGACGAAACUUUCUUUUUGGAGGGGAGUAUUGUAAGACCUGGAUUUGCCGAACAAGUUAAUUUCCGACUCACGCGUAGAAUCAGUGUAAGCGUGACAGGAGUUUGAUAUUUGAGGAAGAUUAAUGAAGAAGAAAGUUCAGGAAUUGCUUGAGGAAUGUUGCGUAGUCGUUUUCGGAGUUAGUGCGAGUCGUCUGCACACUUGCCUUAGGGCGAGCGUGUCCAGAAUAGGCUAUUUCGUUCUUAAAGCAACGUUUUGAGUGAGAUUUCGAACUCUCGGAAAAUUUAAAGUUUCUCUCUAUUUUUCCAUCGACCAGCGUUUCAUUUCGGAACUCUGGACUGUACGCACGAUAGGUUUCACUUUUCGGAUGUCCGCCGACGCUAAUUUCUUUGCUUCGAAACCCUAUUUUCGAGCAAUGGAUGAAGACUUUUUCUAUUCGGGACUUCUAACGAAGAUUCCGUCCGCGCUGCCAGAUUUGUUUCGACGUUUUCAAUAUUUCUUCAGUGGGAAGUUUUGUCGUUUGAGCAUCACAGCAAAAAGUAGUUUUUCGGGGCAGAUUAACCGACACCGCUUUUGAGUUUUUCGAUAUCGUUUUUCCCAAAUCUUAGAUGUUUGCUUUGAGUUCUGGAAUUCUGACGCCAGAAUCUCUCUUAGAAUUCCACGGUGAUCGUGCUGCAAAAAUCGGAAUCGCGAAAUUUUCAAUUUCCCGCGAUUUCACCCGCCUAUAAAUAGCGCGAAAAAGCAAAAUCCUCUCAUUUUCUUUCCAUUUGUGGCUGAUUUCGUGGGGAGCAAGGGGGGAGGGGAUUUCCGCGAAAACUUGACCAAUCUUCGUGCAGUUCGUCCCUACUUCUAGGUAUCGAGGUAACUAUCAUGAAUCCUGCCUCUGAUUGUUGUUUCUGUUGCGUUUCUGAAGUCGUUUCUGUGCUCUAAGUUUUGAGCUUUUUCUAAAAUUGUCCGAUUUCUCUGAUUUCUCGCUUGGGUUAUGUUCCUUAUGUUCCCCUGAGUCUAAAACCUCUGUCAGUAAACUCUGAUUGCGAUUCAGUUGUCCAGGAUCUGAAAAAUUGACUCAAAACUCUUUUUGUCUCACAUUUCGAAACUUUAUUGUCGUAAAGCUAUAAUCUGACUUCGUGCCUUUAGGAUUUGUUGUCACGGAUGUCAUGAGGAUCGUUGCUGUCAAAUCUGUUUUCAGAACUGAUAACUUUGAAGUUUUGAGCCUUUAUUUUGGACCAAAAUGCCCCUGGAUAGUCGUAUUUCGGCCCGAUUGUCCGAAAAUUGUUCUGACAGUUUCUUUGCCUUAGUUUUACCCUAAAACUACCUUGUAAACUGAUUUGAUCGAAGAAAAAGAGCCGAAGCUCUUUUCUCCUUAUGGCCGUGGGCUAUUUCCUAAGGGGGGGGAGUUUUUCGUUUUCGAAAACUUGUCUUUUCGUACCUGAUUGUCCUAUUCUGAAGCUUUAACGCUUUGUCUAUCGUUUAUGUAUUGUUUUGCGAUCGAACUAAUCGAUUUUGUUUGAAUUCUGCUUUGUUUUUCUCCGAGGUUCAGUUGAAGGAACUUUGGAAUAUUCAGAGCAACUGUUUGAGGACAACCUUGAUUUCGAAGCUGGAACAGCUCGAGGUUAGGGCAACUUACAUAUAUAUUAGCUAUGAAUGCAUGAUAGGCGUCGAUCAAUUCGACUUAUGCUUUACUUUGAUGUUGAUUAUGUUGAUGAACUGAUGUUGUGAUGUUGUGCUUUGUUGGAUUGUGCGUUUUGACGCGACUUCGGAGUGGAGAUUCAUUGAUCUGGUGAUCUUUGAUGUUUCGGGGUGGAUGAGCAACCCUAGGCAAGUUCAAACGAGGGGUUUGGGACUUAGCCAUUUGUUGGGAUUCGUUGGUUUACUUAGACUUUCCCCGGGAAACUUCUUUUGGGUGGUUGGUUUCGGAAAACCUAGAAUGAAUAGAAUUUUGUAAACUAAAGACUUGGGAAACCUAGAUUUUGAGAAAUAAACUCAUAACCUGACUAAUCUGAAUUGAAAUCAUUUUUAUUAAUGUUUAAGUAUAGGAAAACUGAAGGGGAAAAUAUUUACGAAAGACGGGGAAAAGUCGACCUUUGUUGUGAGUUAUUGGAAUUGGGGAAAGCCACCAAGGUGAGCUAUGGUGAUGACUGAAAGUCACCGAGUACUUUACGUACUCUUGUUGAUGGGGUUGUGUUGUAUUGACCGACAUUAAUCCCUUGAGUUCUCUUGUUGUUGGAGCGGUGUUGUAUUGACCGACACUUAGCGCUCUUGUUGUUUGGGCUGUGUUGUAUUGACCGACACUAGACCCUUGUGUAUUCUUGUUGGAGUUGUGUUGUAUUGACCGACACUUACUCCGAGUUGUGUUGUAUUGACCGACACUAACUCAUGGGUUUGUUGAGAUUAGGUUGUGAGCUAAACACUUUCGUGGUAAGGACGAUUCGUUGUUUGGCUAACCACGUUGCAUUCAAUCGGGUGAAUAACGGGAAUGGUUCACCUGUGCAUAUCAUGGUGAAUAACGGGAAUGGUUCACCUUGCAUUAAUGAUGAAUAACGGGAAUGGUUCAUCAUUCGGUGAAUAACGGGAAUGGUUCACCAAGGAUGAAUAACGGGAAUGGUUCAUCCAGGAUGGAUUUCAUCCAGGAUGGAUAACGGGAAUGGUCCAUCCAUAGUGAAAAUGCUUCACUUGUGGCGAACGGGAACGCGUCACAAAUCCGGAUACAUAUUGUGCAUUUCACGCAUACAUUCAUGCUGACUGAGAUUGUGUGCUGUUUGUUUAUUGAAGCAAUGUUAGAGCCAUAACAUGCUAGGAUUGUUUAUAUGUAUAUAUAUCAACAUAUAUCUAUACCCCAUAUCACAUGUUGAGUGUAUAUCUACUUAUUGCUGUGAGUUGACCCUAGCGCCUUGGCUUUGUUUGUAUGUUUGUGUUUGGGCGGUCGGCCUGCUGCC
RNAcentral lists this long non-coding RNA (7475 nucleotides) under Lotus japonicus. RNAcentral describes it as "long non-coding RNA (LJAP_LNC001220)". The record is from RNAcentral. Lineage: Eukaryota; Viridiplantae; Streptophyta; Magnoliopsida; Fabales; Fabaceae.